Gossypium raimondii (Peruvian cotton) is the source of this 1426-nucleotide long non-coding RNA. RefSeq lists it as uncharacterized. The record is from RefSeq and is a predicted model, not a curated record. The transcript is spliced from 2 exons. NCBI's taxonomy places the organism in Eukaryota, Viridiplantae, Streptophyta, Magnoliopsida, Malvales, Malvaceae.
UUCUUGCAAGUGAGUAUUUAAUAAUGAGGAAAAACACAAGAUGAAAGAGAAAAAUUGGAGAGACCCUUUUAUGAGAGAAAAUUAGAGUUUGGGUCCUUGGAUUCAUAAUAUCUUAACACCUUGGAUUUCAUGGCUUUGGCUCCUUCGUCUGUUUUCUUUGGUAGAUUUUUCAUUGGUUUCAUAUUGUGCGCUCAGCUUUUGAAGCUCUUUUCUCCCACAUAUUUCAAUUAUUUGUACGGAUCCACAUCGACAAAUUUUGCUCAAGUUGAUGUAAUUGUGGAGAGCACCCGAAGUGUCAUCAUCCCAACUUCAUUUAGAUGCAAAAAAAAGAGAUUUUGGCUCUCUUCUUCGGCAGAGCAUGGCAUAUAUUACAAGAAGCAGAGGUUAUAUAUGUUCAACUACGAUCUGUUCAUCUGCCAAAAUAUUCCAACAAAACAAAAAUGAUAAUACAUGUCAUCAGUUUCCUUAUAAUUUCCAAUUAACUUGAUACAAAAUUAUAUAUGGAGUAUUUCAAGAGUUGUAAUAUAUAUGCCAACAACUUAUAUGGUACCUAAGCUAUUGACAGAUUCUUUGGAGUUGUGUUGGAAAGAGCUUAAACACGCAAUGUCGUUUUCAAGUAAGUAAAUUGAAUAGGGGCUAAGGAUUAAGGGUUGAUGAAAAUGGAGGGGGAAGAAGGGGAUAGUUCACAAUAUUCAUUGAUGCAGGGCACCUAUUUUAGCUGUUUGAUUUUUUAAGGUUGAAUCAGGAAAGGAUCUUGCUUCAGAAUAUUCGGUGUUGAGGUUGAUGUUAAUAAAACCUGAUUGUUAUAGAUAAGUAGUUACAGCACAUCUUUGUAUCUGAAAAUUAUGGGUUUAUUUAGUUUAUAUUCCUUCUCUUGUUGUUAAGAGUUCUAUUGUGAGUAUUAUUAUGUUAGUGCCUAGUUUUUAGUUUUUCUAUUAUGUAAAAGCCUAUAUAAAUAGGUUCUUGGAUUAUGAAUUAUUUUACUCAUCAUUUUAUUUUUCCCUUUCCUUUUUUAUUUUCAUCUUCUUGUUAUCUCUCUCCAUAAGUUAACAGUGGUGUCAGAGCUAGUUAAAAGAAGAGUAUUUUCGGUGAGAGGAAAAAGUUUGUGGUCCUCUUAUAGCUUCUGAAAAUUUUGUACAACCAGCUAUUCCACAUUUUGAUGGUCACUAUGAUCAUUGGAUCAUGUUGAUGGAGAACUUCUUCCGGGUGUGUGUGAGGCCGUGUGGGCCAUACGGGCUAGCCAAUUCAGCUGUGUGGACCCAUUUUCUGAAAAAAUUCACCUAGGUCUGUUUGACUCUAAAAUUUGUAAUUAGACUUUUGAUAGGGCCAUGCUACUUAAUUAAGGCUUGGAAACAAUGUAUUUGUUAAUAUGCUUAUGUGUAUAAUGUGUUUAAGUUAUGUGGAAUAUAUUUGCGUGAUCUGAUAA